Molecule: long non-coding RNA, 1553 nt
Filed under: Olea europaea subsp. europaea
Lineage: Eukaryota; Viridiplantae; Streptophyta; Magnoliopsida; Lamiales; Oleaceae
Source: RNAcentral
CCCAUUCACAAAACAAAUCCUAGAUAUUAUAAUAGCAAAUACCAAGAACGUAAAGGAGCUAUGGCAGAUAUUAUAUACAUUUCAGCUAAUACCGUCUUAGUUUCGCAAAAAUAUACUUGAAACUUUAAAGAAACAAGAGCCAGACAAAUUUAAAUUUCCCCCAUAAUCUAUUGCAUCUAUUGCAUAAAAUCACAAUAUGUUACUUAACUAUACCAAUUUUAUGUGGUGGUACCACAUGUUAAAAGUCAGCCUGCAACCUCCAACAAUGAUCAAGCAGUCAAUCUAAAAUCGCCAAGCUUCAUCUUCACAGGUAAUUAUCUCGGAUUGCAAAAUGGCACUCUUUCUGUCAAGCAAAACCAAACUCUCCAUGUACAUUUCCAUGUGAAAUGAGUCCUUAGCAGCACGAACUCCAACAUGUGAAUACAUCAAGUCAUUAGGAUCAUACAAUACCAGCUUAUGCCUGCCUAUUUGCACCAGUAUGUCCCCAUUGUUUGUAACACAAACUUCAUACAUUCUCCCAUCAUAUCAACAGUGUACAUUUCCCUUCAAGAUUCAAACACACCAUACUCCUCCAUCACCCACACUGAAAACAUCUGUUCCUUCCAGCUACGAUAGUUUACCGCUGCAAGCCUAUUCCCUAGCACCGCCAAAGACAAGUAGGAUCACCAUUCUUCCAAAUCAGCUGGGAGAUUCACCUCUUUGAACGCCUCAUUGCUCAUAUCAAAAGAAACGAUCAUAUCCCGACUUUGUCAUUAAUUCACCUUCUCAGUUCGGGGACUAUAUCCAAUCCAGUGCACAUCCCCGUCAACAUAAGCUGACAACCCCCAAUUUUAUAUCCCAUAAGGUGCUGUACCAGCAUUAUAAUUCCUCCAGGACCCCGAUUUCACUGUGUACAACUCAACCUCAGGUGGAUUUUUAUUCCCGUUAAAGUUAAAAUACGCAAUCCUCACCACCUUAUAAUAAUCAGUUUUACAAUCAAACCCAAACCCAAGCACAAAGCUUUAAGCUCAAUGGGAUCUCCGAGUCACCCGGGGUUUAGGGAGAGUCGAGUAUUUUUUUUAAUAGAUGGGUUCCACAGAAUAAUGUCAUAUGCAGAAUCCCCUUUAAGAACAGAAGAUCCUUUAGUAUCAGAUAAACAAAACAACCCAUUGCACGAGCCCACUAUUUGGAAAUGUUUGAAAGAUUUAGACUUGAAAGGGAUGUCUAGUUCUUGCAAAUUGUCCAUGUCAUUUGGUAAAAGCAAUUAGUUUUCUUUUCUCUCGAUCCUUUUUCUUCCAGUUAACAAGGGGAAUGUGAGUGUGCUUUGUACUGGUAAUGUGAUCUGAAACGAAAGAUGGGUUGGUGAUUACACUGUGGAAAAAAUUGCAAACUGACCUGAUUCAAAGAAGGGUUUUGACUUGGAGUCUUGCGAAAAGGUCCACCCAUACUUCAUCGGGCAAAUAAUCCGACAUUUUUUUCUGGGGUUUCAGAGUUUGAUGAACGAGAAAUGGGGGAACUGAAUAGCGAUAGAGGAAACGUUUAGCCUGGGAGACAUCAUCUAGGGUUCAAUACGG